This is a non-coding RNA of Oryza glaberrima (African rice), 130 nucleotides long. The record is from Rfam. Lineage: Eukaryota; Viridiplantae; Streptophyta; Magnoliopsida; Poales; Poaceae.
UAAAGAGUAAAAGGUUCUGUUCUGUUUUUCAGACGAACAGUUCCCACGUUACUUUAGGAACAUUGAUGCACUGUCUUCUGGCGAACUGUUGUAUCUCAAUGACAAAUGGUUCAGAGACAGUGCGACAUCA